This 521-nucleotide ribosomal RNA is filed under the name uncultured Bacillota bacterium. RNAcentral's name for it is "bacterial SSU rRNA". It matches the Rfam family "Bacterial small subunit ribosomal RNA", at positions 355 to 864 of the family's 1533-position model. The record is from RNAcentral. Lineage: Bacteria; Bacillati; Bacillota.
UAGGGAAUCUUCCGCAAUGGACGAAAGUCUGACGGAGCAACGCCGCGUGAACGAUGAAGGUCUUCGGAUCGUAAAGUUCUGUUGUUAGGGAAGAACAAGUACCGUGCGAAUAGAGCGGUACCUUGACGGUACCUAACGAGGAAGCCCCGGCUAACUACGUGCCAGCAGCCGCGGUAAUACGUAGGGGGCAAGCGUUGUCCGGAAUUAUUGGGCGUAAAGCGCGCGCAGGCGGUUCCUUAAGUCUGAUGUGAAAGCCCACGGCUCAACCGUGGAGGGUCAUUGGAAACUGGGGGAACUUGAGGACAGAAGAGGAGAGUGGAAUUCCACGUGUAGCGGUGAAAUGCGUAGAUAUGUGGAGGAACACCAGUGGCGAAGGCGACUCUCUGGUCUGUUUCUGACGCUGAGGUGCGAAAGCGUGGGUAGCAAACAGGAUUAGAUACCCUGGUAGUCCACGCCGUAAACGAUGAGUGCUAGGUGUUAGGGGGCGUUCCACCCCUUAGUGCUGAAGUUAACGCAUUAAG